This 496-nucleotide ribosomal RNA is filed under the name uncultured Nocardiopsis sp. RNAcentral describes it as "partial 16S ribosomal RNA". Lineage: Bacteria; Bacillati; Actinomycetota; Actinomycetes; Streptosporangiales; Nocardiopsidaceae. The record is from RNAcentral.
CACGUAGUUAGCCGGUCCUUAUUCCCCACCUACCGUCAACCCCACGAGAACGUGGAGCCUGCGUUGGUGGUAAAAGAGGUUUACAACCCGAAGGCCGUCAUCCCCCACGCGGCGUCGCUGCAUCAGGCUUUCGCCCAUUGUGCAAUAUUCCCCACUGCUGCCUCCCGCAGGAGUCUGGGCCGUGUCUCAGUCCCAGUGUGGCCGGUCGCCCUCUCAGGCCGGCUACCCGUAAUCGCCUUGGUAGGCCGUUACCCCACCAACAAGCUGAUAGGCCGCGAGCCCAUCCCUGACCGAUAAAACUUUCCACCCUCCACCAUGAGGUGGUGGGUCGUAUCCGGUAUUAGACGGCGUUUCCACCGCUUAUCCCAGAGUCAGGGGCAGGUUGCUCACGUGUUACUCACCCGUUCGCCGCUCGUGUACCCCGAAGGGCCUUACCGCUCGACUUGCAUGUGUUAAGCACGCCGCCAGCGUUCGUCCUGAGCCAGGAUCAAACUCU